GUGACUGGCAAUUUUCCAUUUAUCCACAAGACAGGAAUAGCUGACGCAACAAUGCCUCAACCUUGCCCUGGAGGGAUCUCCUUUAAGAAUGAGAGGGGAGUUCGCUCCCUCUAGCACUUUCCCCU
RNAcentral lists this small RNA (125 nucleotides) under Chrysemys picta bellii (western painted turtle). RNAcentral's name for it is "TUC338 (ENSCPBG00000010410.1)". Lineage: Eukaryota; Metazoa; Chordata; Testudines; Emydidae. The record is from RNAcentral.